Molecule: long non-coding RNA, 430 nt
Organism: Humulus lupulus (European hop)
Lineage: Eukaryota; Viridiplantae; Streptophyta; Magnoliopsida; Rosales; Cannabaceae
Exons: 4
Source: RefSeq, a predicted model, not a curated record
GCAAUUUCUGCAUAAGUCUCAAUCUACCAUUGUACUUGGUAUUAUCAAUGAGCAUAUCAACUUUCAAGUUUCUCCUGGACAGCCCAACUCAAUUUCUGAUGAUGCGGAGGCUAUUACAUUGACUAGAAGCAGCCAGGAUGCAGUUAGUCAGAUUAAUCAGAAGGAAAUACAUUGGGGGUUGCUGGAAGACUCUUUGGAAGAACGCUUGGAAAAGACUAGGGGUUUGCUUUCUGAUUCUGAAAAGGCAGAAGGAGAAACUAAAGAGUCGGAGUGGGAGGAAAAUAAGAAAAGAUCAGCAGAAGGAGGAAAGCAGGGCUCAUCAGUUAAAAAGCUGAAAAAAAGACAAGGCAACAGGAGCAACAGGGAAAGCCACUCAUCCUGAGACAAACAUUGUAACUAUGGCACCAAGAGUCAAACCAGAGCUUCCUUU